CGAGUGCCUCAAGCGUUAUCCGGAAUUAUUGGGCGUAAAGGGUGUGUAGGCGGUUUCCUUAGUCUAGUGUAAAAGCCAGAAGCUCAACUUCUCGGAUGCACUGGAAACGGGGAGACUAGAGUGCGCGAGAGGUUUGCGGAACUCAUAGUGUAGGGGUGAAAUCCGUUGAUAUUAUGGGGAACACCAAAUGCGAAGGCAGCAAACUGGCGCGCCACUGACGCUGAGACACGAAAGCGUGGGUAGCGAAUGGGAUUAGAUACCCCAGUAGUCCACGCCCUAAACGAUCUUGAUUUGCUAUGGGGAGUAUCGACCCUCUCCGUGGCGAAGCUAACGCGAUAAAUCAAGCGCCUGGGUAUUACGGCCGCAAGGCUA
RNAcentral lists this ribosomal RNA (372 nucleotides) under uncultured organism. RNAcentral describes it as "bacterial SSU rRNA". It matches the Rfam family "Bacterial small subunit ribosomal RNA", at positions 526 to 896 of the family's 1533-position model. The record is from RNAcentral.